UCCGUGGGUGGAUAAUUAAGUCAGAGGUGAAAUCCUGCAGCUCAACUGUAGAAUUGCCUUUGAUACUGGUUAUCUUGAGUCAUUAUGAAGUGGUUAGAAUGUGUAGUGUAGCGGUGAAAUGCAUAGAUAUUACACAGAAUACCGAUUGCGAAGGCAGAUCACUAAUAAUGUACUGACACUGAGGGACGAAAGCGUAGGGAGCGAACAGGAUUAGAUACCCUGGUAGUCC
This 229-nucleotide ribosomal RNA is filed under the name uncultured bacterium. RNAcentral describes it as "partial 16S ribosomal RNA". It matches the Rfam family "Bacterial small subunit ribosomal RNA", at positions 568 to 796 of the family's 1533-position model. The record is from RNAcentral.